UUAUUUGUUCACUUGAUUUUGUGUAGGAAUCAUUCAAAUGUGACAUAGAUUUUCCCUCAACUGUCUUCAGCCUCUUCCAACUUUUAAGAUGUUGAUGGAUAAAUACAAAAAGAAACUUGCGUUUGACUGUUUAAUAUUUUGAUACAAGCAGCGUCCUUGUAACAUUUGACAGCUGGUUGCUGAAAAUGAUUUGGAGUAAAUGCUCCUGUUUUUUGUCUUAUAAAUGCAGAUUUCUGUUAUUUUGAAGUCAAAUGCUCUUCUUCUAUUUCCUGGCCCUUUUAGACAAGACGAUAAACUUUCUAAAAUUGUUUGUUUUUGAAACUUUGAAAGUUGAAAGUCUAAGUUUAGCGGUCGGAGCAGCCACUUGAAGAAAGUAGCGGAAGAAUUUUCGGCACGUGACAGAGCAACUAAAUGAUUUGAAAAAAAUGUUUCUUUUUCUCUGUGGCACAAUACCAACUGCCCCAUGGACCGGUCUGCGGCCCAAAGGGUCCAGUAGCUACUACUGCCUUAGCCUACAUCAUCUCUAACAGGAUUCAGGGAAGUACCGUAUGUUUCCGAGUAUAAAUCAUUUUCUUUUGCAUAGUUUGACCAGAGGUGCGACUUAUACUCAGGAGUGAUUUAUAUGUCAUUUUUUUAAAAACAUAAAUAGGAUCCUAUAAUUGUUAUUUUCCCACUAACAGCCAAUCAUCCUUGAGCGGUUGUUUCCCGCUAACAACCGGUAGAGAGCACUGUAGGUGUGUCAGUAUUUGCUACUGACAGCAGAAGAAGCGCUGUACAAAACAAACACGGAGGAGAAUCUGAUCAAUCUCCUGACCUAAUGAUGUGUUUCUUUUUCAUUUCUUUAUUUUUUCAUUCCUCGGACUAAUGUGGGACUGCAGGUCAUCAAACUGGGUUACAGAGACAUGGAAGUACCGCCAUCAGCGCCGUCAAUAGAAGAAGAAGAUUGCGGUUUAAAAAAAAGAGUGCUCUCUUGGGUGAGGGUGUGACUUAUACUCUGAAAAAUACAGUGGUUUUGUUAUUUUGCUGCAGCAAAAGAAGCAAAAGACAAUUGAUUGAUUUUUGUAUUCACAAACAGGUCAUGAAAAAAGAAUAAUCUCCCCUAACCUAACUGGAUUCAUUAAAAAUAGACAUUUCUUUUUCAACUCAAGGCGAGGAUUUAACAUGAUCAACAUCCCAAAUCUUCUCAUAGCUUUGAAUGCAGAAAGGGCCUUUGACCGUGCAGAGUGGAGGUUUUUACUUUACAACCUAUAGGCCAUUGGUUUCGGUAACAGUUUUAAUCACAUGGGUUAAUCCUCCCUGGUUUCCUUGGUAAAGACAAAUAGUAUUCAAUCAGCAUGUUUUCCUUUACCGCUCCACUCGGCAUGCAGGGCUGUCCCCUAAAACUCUAAGCGCUGCAAAUUCACUGCUUUGAUCAAAAAUAAACCUGAUGCUCCUGCCGCGUGUGGGAGGAGCCGUCAAAGGAUUUUAGCCUCAUUGCUACAAUGAAGCAUUGGCUGUGUACUGUAUCUGUAUAUCUCAUGACCAGUCAAUGCAUGGAAGACAUGGAUGAUACCUUUCUCUUUCCUUCCAGACAUGUGACUAAAUCCUGGUGUGUAAACCUUCUACUUUCCUUUUCUUGCAGGUCUGUUUGCAGAUUCUCUUAUCAGGUCGUCUUCCCCCUAUAGAACUCUGCUUCCACGGCUGUGUCUUUGCUGUUGUUGUUUUGUUUUAAUUGUGCUUUCUGGCACUCACCUGUCACUCACAGACCUGAGUCUGAAGCUUCUCGCCUUUUCUACCGUCUGCACACAUUCUGGUUUCAUCCAAAAAUAUUCAUUGGCUUUAAAAGCAGCAUCGAUUCCUGGCCUGAAAGGGAAUCUUCGUUGACAGAGUCGAAAAGAUGGGAUGUGUAUCAGAUCUGGUUUUAUGAAUGAACCCUAAAGGAUCUUCAGAUCCUAAACUACAAAACUACAAUAAACCAAG
Molecule: non-coding RNA, 1959 nt
Organism: Oryzias latipes (Japanese medaka)
Lineage: Eukaryota; Metazoa; Chordata; Actinopteri; Beloniformes; Adrianichthyidae
Source: RefSeq, a predicted model, not a curated record